CAGGGGAAUAGCCCAGAGAAAUUUGGAUUAAUGCCCCAUAGUAUAAUUGAAUGGCAUCAUUUGAUUAUUAAAGUUCCAACGGUAAAAGAUGGGCAUGCGUCCUAUUAGCUAGAUGGUAAGGUAACGGCUUACCAUGGCUACGAUAGGUAGGGGUCCUGAGAGGGAGAUCCCCCACACUGGUACUGAGACACGGACCAGACUCCUACGGGAGGCAGCAGUGAGGAAUAUUGGACAAUGGGCGCAAGCCUGAUCCAGCCAUGCCGCGUGCAGGAAGACGCAUCUAUGGUGUGUAAACUGCUUUUGUACGGGAAGAAACACUCCCUCGUGAGGGAGCUUGACGGUACCGUAAGAAUAAGGAUCGGCUAACUCCGUGCCAGCAGCCGCGGUAAUACGGAGGAUCCAAGCGUUAUCCGGAAUCAUUGGGUUUAAAGGGUCCGUAGGCGGUUUAAUAAGUCAGUGGUGAAAGCCCAUCGCUCAACGAUGGAACGGCCAUUGAUACUGUUAGACUUGAAUUACAAGGAAGUAACUAGAAUAUGUAGUGUAGCGGUGAAAUGCUUAGAUAUUACAUGGAAUACCAAUUGCGAAGGCAGGUUACUACUUGUGGAUUGACGCUGAUGGACGAAAGCGUGGGGAGCGAACAGGAUUAGAUACCCUGGUAGUCCACGCCGUAAACGAUGGAUACUAGCUGUUCGGAGCA
Molecule: ribosomal RNA, 697 nt
Filed under: uncultured Bacteroidota bacterium
Lineage: Bacteria; Pseudomonadati; Bacteroidota
Description: bacterial SSU rRNA
Rfam family: Bacterial small subunit ribosomal RNA
Source: RNAcentral